Molecule: ribosomal RNA, 253 nt
Filed under: uncultured bacterium
Lineage: Bacteria
Description: partial 16S ribosomal RNA
Rfam family: Bacterial small subunit ribosomal RNA
Source: RNAcentral
UACGGAGGGUGCAAGCGUUAAUCGGAAUUACUGGGCGUAAAGCGUGCGUAGACGGUUACAUAAGUCGGGUGUGAAAGCCCCGGGCUCAACCUGGGAAUUGCAUUCGAGACUGCGUAGCUAGGGUGCGGAAGAGGGAAGCGGAAUUUCCGGUGUAGCGGUGAAAUGCGUAGAUAUCGGAAGGAACACCAGUGGCGAAAGCGGCUUCCUGGUCCAGCACCGACGUUCAGGCACGAAAGCGUGGGGAGCAAACAGG